AUUGAACGCUGGCGGCAGGCUUAACACAUGCAAGUCGAACGAGUGGCGGACGGGUGAGUAAUGCUUGGGAAACUGGCUUAUGGAGGGGGAUAACUACGGGAAACUGUAGCUAAUACCGCAUACCAUAGGAUGAGCCCAAGUGGGAUUAGCUAGUUGGUGGGGUAAUGUCCCACCAAGGCGACGCGCUCUAGCUGGUCUGAGAGGAUGACCAGCCACAGCGGGACGGAGACACGGCCCGGACUCCUACGGGAGGAAGCAGUGGGGAAUAUUGCGCAAGGGGGGCAACCCUGACGCAGCCAUGCCGCGUGAAUGAAGAAGGCCUUCGGGUUGUAAAGUUCUUUCAGUGACGAGGCGUUACUCACAGAAGAAGCACCGGCUAACUCCGUGCCAGCAGCCGCGGUAAUAC
Molecule: ribosomal RNA, 406 nt
Filed under: uncultured bacterium
Lineage: Bacteria
Description: partial 16S ribosomal RNA
Rfam family: Bacterial small subunit ribosomal RNA
Source: RNAcentral